Molecule: ribosomal RNA, 460 nt
Filed under: uncultured bacterium
Lineage: Bacteria
Description: partial 16S ribosomal RNA
Rfam family: Bacterial small subunit ribosomal RNA
Source: RNAcentral
CCUACGGGAGGCUGCAGUGAGGAAUAUUGGUCAAUGGACGAGAGUCUGAACCAGCCAAGUAGCGUGAAGGAUGACUGCCCUAUAGGUUGUAAACUUCUUUUAUAUGGGAAUAAAAUGUUCCACGUGUGGGAUUUUGUAUGUACCAUAUGAAUAAGGAUCGGCUAACUCCGUGCCAGCAGCCGCGGUAAUACGGAGGAUCCGAGCGUUAUCCGGAUUUAUUGGGUUUAAAGGGAGCGUAGGUGGAUUGUUAAGUCAGUUGUGAAAGUUUGCGGCUCAACCGUAAAAUUGCAGUUGAAACUGGCAGUCUUGAGUACAGUAGAGGUGGGCGGAAUUCGUGGUGUAGCGGUGAAAUGCUUAGAUAUCACGAAGAACUCCGAUUGCGAAGGCAGUUCACUGGACUGAAACUGACACUGAGGCUCGAAAGUGUGGGUAUCAAACAGGAUUAGAUACCCGUGUAGUC